This 505-nucleotide ribosomal RNA is filed under the name uncultured bacterium. Its description in RNAcentral is "partial 16S ribosomal RNA". It matches the Rfam family "Bacterial small subunit ribosomal RNA", at positions 28 to 507 of the family's 1533-position model. The record is from RNAcentral.
GACGAACGCUGGCGGCGUGCCUAAUACAUGCAAGUAGAACGCACAGUUUAUACCGUAGCUUGCUACACCAUAGACUGUGAGUUGCGAACGGGUGAGUAACGCGUAGGUAACCUGCCUGGUAGCGUGGGAUAACUAUUGGAAACGAUAGCUAAUACCGCAUAAUAUUAAUUAUUGCAUGAUAAUUAAUUGAAAGGUGCAAUUGCACCACUACCAGAUGGACCUGCGUUGUAUUAGCUAGUAGGUGAGGUAACGGCUAAACUAGGCGACGAUACAUAGCCGGCCUGAGAGGGUGAUCGGCCAAGCUGGGAAGGGAGCAAGGCCCAGAAUACUACGGGAGGGAGCAGUAGGGGAUCUUUGGAAAAGGAAGAAAGGCUGAACGAGGAACGACGGGUGAGUGAAGGAGGUUUUCGGAUCGUAAAGGUCUGUUGUAAGGGAAGGAAGGGUGGGAGAGUGAAAAGUUCACACUGUGACGGUAUCUUAAGAGAAAGCGACGGCUAACUACGUG